CGGCCCCAAGUCAGGCGAGACCACCCGCCGAGUUUAAGCAUAUAAAUAAGCGGAGGAGAAGAAACUUACGAGGAUUCCCCUAGUAACGGCGAGUGAACCGGGAUCAGCCCAGCUUGAGAAUUUGACGGUUGAAUCCGUUCGAGUUGUAGUCUGGAGAAGUGUCCUCAGCGACGGAUCGGGCCCAAGUCCCUUGGAAUGGGGUGCCGGGGAGGGUGAGAGCCCCGUCUGGCUCGGACCAUGCCGCAUGACGAGGCACUGUCGUCGAGUCGGGUUGUUUGGGAAUGCAGCCCCAGUUGGGCGGUAAAUUUCGUCCAAGGCUAAAUAUUGGCGAGAGACCGAUAGCGAACAAGUACCGCGAGGGAAAGAUGAAAAGGACUUUGAAAAGAGAGUCAAAGAGUACUUGAAAUUGCCGCGAGGGAAGCGGAUGGGGGUCGACGGAGUGCUCCGGUCGGAUGCGGAACGGCUCUAGUCGGUCCGUUGCUCGACUUGGGGCAUGGACCGUUGCAGGCUACGCUGGCGGUCCAAGCCCGAACGCAUUGUGCGCGCUCGCGGCAUAUUGCCAGCGUGGUCGAGGAUGCGGCGCGCGCCAUUAUUGGCGUUCCACCCUGUGGCACUUGCACGCUCAAGGCAUCGGCCAGUGGGCUCCCCAUUCGACCCGUCUUGAAACACGGACCAAGGAGUCUGACAUGCAUGCGAGUCGGCGAGUUUGGAAACUCUGACGGCGCAAGGAAGCUGAUUGGCGGGAGCCCCUUUUUGUGGGGGUGCAUCGCCGGCCGACCUAGAUCUUUUGUGAAGGGUUUGUGUUGGAGCAUGCCUGUCGGGACCCGAAAGAUGGUGAACUAUGCC
RNAcentral lists this ribosomal RNA (846 nucleotides) under Curcuma longa (turmeric). Its description in RNAcentral is "eukaryotic LSU rRNA". It matches the Rfam family "Eukaryotic large subunit ribosomal RNA", at positions 1 to 837 of the family's 3401-position model. Lineage: Eukaryota; Viridiplantae; Streptophyta; Magnoliopsida; Zingiberales; Zingiberaceae. The record is from RNAcentral.